Molecule: long non-coding RNA, 3065 nt
Filed under: Brachypodium distachyon (stiff brome)
Lineage: Eukaryota; Viridiplantae; Streptophyta; Magnoliopsida; Poales; Poaceae
Description: long non-coding RNA (BDIS_LNC003394)
Source: RNAcentral
UGAUUUGAGACACAUAUCGAUGGAGUAUUUCACUUCACACAUAUCGGUAUGAUGAUAUACAUACCUGCAUGCUCGUGAUCCUGCCACCGUUGGAGACGCUGCCGAGGCCAGCGCCGGCAGAGCGGCGGCUGACGGGGAGCCCGGCGGUGGACUUGAGGCCCCGGAAAGGAGCAACAGCGGUAGCCGCCGCCGACAUCACUGUCGGACCCAUAGCAUCCACCCUUGUAUCACUAGAGUAUAUCUACUUAGCUAAUAUGCUAAGUUUGGCACGGAGAGAGGAGGUCGAGUGGACUUCAUUCCUGGUCACAAGGGUUUAUAUAUACCAUAUAACAUACGAGCAAUUUGUGAUUAAUUUGUUGUCGUUCUAGGAGAUGUGGAAAGGGUGGAUGCCGUUCGUUGGUUGCCUUAUCCGUUCUAGAGAAGGGAUGGAUGACCGACGCUCGCUCAGCCGUCUCCUUCGUCCAUCGUUGCCAAUCUUUCUAGCUAUAAUUGGAAGUUCCAAAGGAACAUACGGUUUCAUGCCUACUUCCAUCGGCCUAUCAUGUACCAAUCCAAUAAAAGGACAUCGUUCAACCAUCAAUCCAUGUGUGUGUAGUAAGUGAUUGGCUACGAACCUUCAGCUGACUUGCUUUAUUGGAUAUUUCUGUAAAGCGAGUCCACGGUGUGUGGGUUUAAAAUCUCGUGGCGGCAACUGUUGACGGGUGCAAAUAUCAGUAGCCUUAAAACAAUAAACUUUACUCCGUCCCUUCCGAAAUGCAAGAAUGUCCUAAGUCAAACUUCUUAUGCUGCAGGACCAUAGUUUUUGAGGUGUUCUUCUCACGAGUCCACGAAGAACGGGAAUUUUUUGGUGUCGGGUAAGGGCGGGGGAAUAUAUAGAUGCUAGCAUCAGCAUGACGGGCUAACGGGUCAGGUAGGAUUUUGGACGACGUAGCACCUGACAUGUGGGGGCCACAUGUAAGAAAACCUGUCAAAAUGUCAUAACCCUCUGUUUUGGUCAACUUGAUACAAUCUGAUACAAAACGUGUGGUUUUCCUGACAAAUUAGCAAAUUUUGUGUCUCUGUGAGAAGCACGCCCCAAAAACUGUGGUUCCGUGAAAUUUAUUCACUAGUUACACUUUAUCUACAAACAUCUACGAUUCUAAAAUAGUUUGGUAUAUAUUUUCCGUAAUAUAAUUAUUUGAUAUUCUAAAUUCGGGGAUUUGUUCUUAUAAACUUGGUCGAAGUUUAAAAAGUUUGACUUCGGACAAAGUUACGACUUUUUACAUUUAGGAAUGAAGGGAAUACAUUUUAGUAAAGCAAUUGAGGAAUUGACAGAAUUAAAUAUCUUAAAUUAUACUGGUCCAUCGUGUACUCAUGGCAACAAAAUAAAUUUAUAGUCGAAAAGUUGGACCAUGAAAACUUAAAACGUGAUACAUUAAAAUUGUUGAAUCACUCUACAUCUUGUAAUUUUCUCUUGCAACCUUCUGGCGCGCUACUCAUUCCACAUUUGGUACUAUAUGUAUAAAUGUAUAUAUAUACCGCAUUAGGAGCCUCUAUUACUGUUUUAGUAUAAAUAGCAGUUUCCAUCGACUAUGCACUUCAUUAACUUUUUCUUCACGAGAUAACUUGCUUAUCGAUUUUCUUUAAUUAUCCAGAUGGCUUCUACUAGUUUGUUUCCUUGCUUACUGGGAUUUCCGCAGACUUUACGGUUAGGUAUUAUUGUCGUGUGGACAACACGGUGGCCGGAUGUUGAGAUGAUGAUGUCCUUUAUCUCCGUGUUGCUUCUGAGGACUGCGGAUCCGAGGCUAGUGGCGGUAUGGGAUGCCUCUCUACCUCUUGAUCAGGUCAAUCCGGCUCAGCAAGAGGCGGAUCGAUGGUGGCCGGUGUGACUAGAAGCGGGGAGGUAUAUAUGAAACGUUUCUUGCUUCCAGCAUCUCUUCUAGCGGUAUAUAUGUCGUCAGCUGGUUGAGGGAUUGAUGGCAAUCGAUCAUGGCUACGAUGACAUGUAUACGCGCCGGUAGGAACACAUAUCAGGCAAUGUCGAUGCACCUGCAUUGGGCCCUUGCUGAAGGUGGUGGUGCGUAUGGCAGUCUAAAGAUUUAAGACACAAAUUUAGACUUAAAACUUAAAUAAUCAAUUUGUGCCAGCGGGAAACACACAAACACGUACCGGUAAAUUAUCAUAAUCAGAAUUUGUCGACGAAUUUGAUAUUCUUUUACAAAAUAUACUUAUCUUAAUAUGUAUAACCGGAGUUUAUAUUACAUGCCCCUCUCCCAACGAUAGUUGUAGUACUCUUAUAAUAGUAGUACUCAUGAAUACAGUUAAUCCGGGUUGUUGGGAGAGAUCACAUGCAUAAAUACAACAUGAAACAAACGUGUGAAAAAGGUACAUAAAAUCGGUGUGACCCGUUCUUGUAUUAUAAGAAAUCAACUUGCUUAGGCCUUGCCGGACUCCUCACAACCCGGUGGCUUGAAGGCGAUGAAGCUGAUGCACUGCACUUGCCUGGUGUUGUCGAAGCCGAUGAUGCGGACAUAGGCGUCAGGGUACUCCUUCUUCACCUCCUCCAGCUCCUUUAGCACCUGCGUGGCGUCGGUGCACCCGAACAUGGGAAGCUUCCACAUUGUCCAGUACCUGCCGUCGUAGUACCCGGGAGAGUUGCCGUGCUCACGGAAGACGAAACCGACCUUGCUGAACUCGAGGCAAGGAACCCACUUGGAGCGGAUGAGAUACUCGAUCUGCUUCAAGAGGGACUCCACGGUGAGAGGCGGCAGGUAGGAAAGGGUUUCGAACUUCUUGAUGCCCUCAAUUGGCCACACCUACAAUUAGAUUAAUAAUUAGCACCGAAAGUAUAAUUUGAGACACAUAUCAGUAUUUCACUUCAACAUAUGUACAUGAUGACAUACAUACCUGCAUGCACCUGAUCCUUCCACCGUUGGAGACGCUGCCGAGACCAGCGCUGGCUGAGCGGCGGCCGAUGGGGAGCCCGGCGGUGGACUUGAGGCCCUGGAAAGGAGCAACGGCAGUAGCCGCUGACGACAUCACUGUGGGAGCCAUCGUACACGUACGUAGAUAGCUAACAAGAGGAG